CUAGAAUGAGUUGGGCCAUGACCUGCCUCGUGGAAAACGUCCUGUGCUGCUGAGUGCCAAUAGUACAGUGUAUGUGACUUGCUGAUUAGAAGACAAAUAGGUGAAGCCCAAAUGUUAAAUAAAGCAAAAAGCAAACACAAAAAUUAGUAGGCUCUUUGCCUUUUAGAUUUAACAUUGGUGAAUUUGAUUGAACAUUUGGCGAAUGAUACAAAUUCUAAUCAUGGAGUAGGAGGCUCUACUAUUAUUCAUAAGAGUAUUAACCUAACUUUGUGAUCAGAAGGAAGGAAAGCAGGUAAUAGAGAAAGAAAUUUUGCAAAAAGAAGUCCUGAAAUUACUUGGAAGGCACACAUAGGAUUAUAUAGAGAAUGUUGUUCUGCUUUCCAAAGUGGAGUCACUGUGGAGAAAGGUAGUCAUUCUUCAUCACCUUAAUUUCAUUUACUCUAGAGCUACAUUUCUGCCUUUCACUCAACUUUAAUGUUUCUGGUUACAUUAAAUAAUACUACAUCAUGUAAGGUAAUUGCUGGAUAGUCUGUUUUCAUUUAGUAUACCCUGAAGUCAGGUCAUGAUUGCUCACAACUGGGAGGCUGUACAGUCCGAAGUAUUUGUUUUGUAAGUUAUUUAAAUAGCUGUUAACUUGUAAAAUACCCUGUUUAUUGCCUGAAAUAAGAUGGUGUUUAAGGAAAAGAAGGAAGCAAUGGAGAAGGCAGUGCAUACAGUGAAAAUGAAGGUUAUUUUAGGCUGAUGAUUGAUUGUAGAAUAGGAAAUAUUAACAAUCUUCUUAGGUGCUAUAGAUGACAUUUUUAGAAGAGAAGAAAAUUAUGCCAGAUUAGGAAUGAAACAUUUCAACAUCUUUAGAAUAAGGAGGAAUAAUGUUGUACUAAGCUAGAACUGAGGUGGGAACUCAAGGGACCCAAGCUUUUGUGCUGGAUGAAGGAGCUCUUGCUUUAGUGGAGUGCUUGUAUGUUUCUGGAGGAAAUGAGCACUUUCUAGUGAAGUAUUCUGUAGUUCCCUUUUACCUACUGUGUUUCCUGUAGCCUAUUUAUACUGGUUUAUCUCAUGCUACGGUACAUUCAGUGUCAGUAAUGCAGCUGGGUAUGAGUAAUAAACUCCAGGAGCCGUGUAUUGUAGAUCAAAGCCAGAUAUGGUGUAGAAUGAAUACGAGUUCAGAAAAGUCCUAGUUAAAUGGCAGCCCCGAGGCUGGAGGAGUACCUGAAACAUGGAUAGCAUGAGACUGGUCCUUGAAUUUUAUCCUUCACUGCCAAUCUUGUCUACGAGCAAGCUGGCACAAGUUAUACCCUGACUUGUGUAGCAGCAAAGCUUGGGAAGAUCAAGGUGUGUUGCCCUGCCUUCAGUUGCAAAGAUCUGAGAAAGUGUUGUAGAUAUGUGUCUUAUUUCAGCUGUGAGGAAGGUGCUAAAGGGAGAACAUAUGUGCGUGUGGGUCAGACAGGACUAAUGGAGUGACAUCCUCUCUGGACUAGAAGAGCCCUUCUCUUUGUCUCUCCCUCCUCCCCUUAGAAUCUAAAUGCUCCUAUUCCAGUUAACUGAAGUAAAACCUCGCUGAUUAGUGCUAACUGGGAGACUCCUCACAGAUAACUAGGUUUUGCUAAUCAGCUUUAGUGCAAGGGAACAAUAAUUUAAAGCAUUUUAAAGUUAAUUUACAGGACAAGUGUACUUCAGCCUCAUUGACUUGUGGUGAUACCAUUGAGAGGGAUGCUCAAACUGGAAAAACCUGAUAGCAACUUUCAAAAUUUUGGAAGAAUUGGGGCCA
Molecule: long non-coding RNA, 1768 nt
Organism: Strigops habroptila (Kakapo)
Lineage: Eukaryota; Metazoa; Chordata; Aves; Psittaciformes; Psittacidae
Exons: 2
Source: RefSeq, a predicted model, not a curated record